ACGGGAGGCAGCAGUGAGGAAUAUUGGGCAAUGGAGGAAACUCUGACCCAGCCAUGCCGCGUGAGUGAAGAAGGUUUUCGAAUUGUAAAGCUCUUUCGGAUGUGACGAUGAUGACGGUAACAUCUAAAGAAGCCCCGGCAAACUUCGUGCCAGCAGCCGCGGUAAUACGAAGGGGGCGAGCGUUGUUCGGAAUUACUGGGCGUAAAGGGUGUGUAGGCGGAGACGUAAGAUAGCGGUGAAAUACCUGAGCUUAACUUGGGAAUUGCCGUUAUAACUAUGGCUCUAGAGUGAUAGAGAGGAUAUUGGAAUACCCAGUGUAGAGGUGAAAUUCGUAGAUAUUGGGUAGAACACCAGAGGCGAAGGCGAGUAUCUGGCUAUCAACUGACGCUGAGGCACGAAAGCAUGGGGAUCAAACAGGAUUAGAUACCCUGGUA
RNAcentral lists this ribosomal RNA (434 nucleotides) under uncultured bacterium. RNAcentral's name for it is "partial 16S ribosomal RNA". It matches the Rfam family "Bacterial small subunit ribosomal RNA", at positions 341 to 792 of the family's 1533-position model. RNAcentral also lists the same sequence under 1 other name. The record is from RNAcentral.